Molecule: ribosomal RNA, 698 nt
Filed under: uncultured bacterium
Lineage: Bacteria
Description: bacterial SSU rRNA
Rfam family: Bacterial small subunit ribosomal RNA
Source: RNAcentral
GUAACACGUGGGCAACCUGCCCAAAAGAGGGGGAUAACACUUGGAAACAGGUGCUAAUACCGCAUAACCAUAGUUACCGCAUGGUAGCUAUGUAAAAGGUGGCUAUGCUACCGCUUUUGGAUGGGCCCGCGGCGCAUUAGCUAGUUGGUGGGGUAAAGGCUUACCAAGGCAAUGAUGCGUAGCCGAACUGAGAGGUUGAUCGGCCACAUUGGGACUGAGACACGGCCCAAACUCCUACGGGAGGCAGCAGUAGGGAAUCUUCCACAAUGGGCGAAAGCCUGAUGGAGCAACGCCGCGUGGGUGAAGAAGGUCUUCGGAUCGUAAAACCCUGUUGUUAGAGAAGAAAGUGCGUGAGAGUAACUGUUCACGUUUCGACGGUAUCUAACCAGAAAGCCACGGCUAACUACGUGCCAGCAGCCGCGGUAAUACGUAGGUGGCAAGCGUUAUCCGGAUUUAUUGGGCGUAAAGGGAACGCAGGCGGUCUUUUAAGUCUGAUGUGAAAGCCUUCGGCUUAACCGGAGUAGUGCAUUGGAAACUGGGAGACUUGAGUGCAGAAGAGGAGAGUGGAACUCCAUGUGUAGCGGUGAAAUGCGUAGAUAUAUGGAAGAACACCAGUGGCGAAAGCGGCUCUCUGGUCUGUAACUGACGCUGAGGUUCGAAAGCGUGGGUAGCAAACAGGAUUAGAUACCCUGGUAGUC